AUCUCUUAGAGCUCUAGCUCACCUCUCUGGUGUUGUUUACAUUUAAUUAAUUUAAUUCUUGUCAGUUCUUCCUGAACUUCUUGUUAGAUCUUGAGUUUGUAUUUCUGUGUCCAUGACAGUUUGUCGAGACUUCACUCACCUCAGAUAUCAGAGUUAGUUUCUUCCUUGUUAGAGUGCGGAUUACCCCUCUGCUUGGAAGUGUACUAGCAUUUUAGAGGUUGCGGAUUACCCUCCUCUAAACUGAUACUUUUUUUGUUAUAAUAUUGGAG
RNAcentral lists this long non-coding RNA (269 nucleotides) under Physcomitrium patens. RNAcentral describes it as "long non-coding RNA (PPAT_LNC011426)". Lineage: Eukaryota; Viridiplantae; Streptophyta; Bryopsida; Funariales; Funariaceae. The record is from RNAcentral.